UUUUUAGUGUAAGUGUAUCCCAUGCCCUAUUUGAGACAUACUUAUACUAAAA
This 52-nucleotide microRNA precursor is filed under the name Pteropus alecto (black flying fox). Its description in RNAcentral is "mir-1302 microRNA precursor family". It matches the Rfam family "mir-1302 microRNA precursor family". Lineage: Eukaryota; Metazoa; Chordata; Mammalia; Chiroptera; Pteropodidae. The record is from Rfam by way of RNAcentral.